GUUGAAAUCAGCUUAGCUGCGGAUAGAUUUCUGCCAUAAGCUGGUAUGUUUGAAUAUUUCUCGAGGUAUUAUCUGUUUGUAACAGCAAUGGUUCAGCAUCUACAAUGGAUUCAACAUCAGGUGUUUGCUAUUAUUGUUUGAUGUUGUUUGCCAUUAUUGUUUGAUGUUGUUUGCUAUUAUUGUUUGAUGUUGUUUGCUAUUGUUGUCAAGUAAGGUAAAAAUGGCCAUUCUAAUUACCUGAAUAUUGCGU
Molecule: long non-coding RNA, 250 nt
Filed under: Helianthus annuus (common sunflower)
Lineage: Eukaryota; Viridiplantae; Streptophyta; Magnoliopsida; Asterales; Asteraceae
Description: hypothetical non coding rna
Source: RNAcentral